Molecule: long non-coding RNA, 749 nt
Organism: Mercenaria mercenaria
Lineage: Eukaryota; Metazoa; Mollusca; Bivalvia; Venerida; Veneridae
Exons: 2
Source: RefSeq, a predicted model, not a curated record
UAAGGAAGUUGACAUUAAAUUUACUUACGUUGCAAAAGUACUUAUGCAGAAUCCAUGAACACUGGUUAGAGUAACUGAACAUUAUAUAACUGACAUAUUGUUGAAAAACUUUGCUAAACCUAAAAUCAGAUCUGAUCAACUUAGAUAAAUUCUUAUAGUUUUCAUUUAUGAGGCUUCAGCCUGUAUGUUGAGAAAAGUGCAUUUUGACUUUAAAAUUGAGUUAUCUUUCCUUUUUAUCCAGGAUUAUUUGGAAGUGAUCAGUGCUUUAUCAGUUUGACAAGCCAUCGUAUUUUGGUUUGCCAAAUAAUAUAUAGCGCUCAGCGUUCCUGAUUUUUUAAUAAACGACAUUGUGUCUGAAAUCAUUAGUCCUCCACCUAUGAUUCUUGUGGGGAAGUUGGCAGUUACUUGCAAGAAAACAGGUACAUGUAUAUACUCUGGUAACAGAUUUGCAGUAUCAGUCAGUAUCCUAAGAACCCACAGACAUUCUAGAUAUAGGACCAACACAAUCAAACAAGCUGGCAAGAUUUUACAUUCAAGAGUGGCGACAUUCUGCCCAAGAUUGAAGUCUGGAGAUACCAUUGGCCAAUCUUAGAAUCUUUUUUUAGAUUUAAGUUUAAAAAUGACAGACUUAAGACUACAUGUAUAAUGUUUUCAGUCAAAGGCUUUUCUCUGCUUUUGUUUUUUUAUCAACAUAUUAAGAUCUGGAAAAAAGUCAAUAUGACAAAAUAAAAGAAAGAAAAAGAUUUUUU